This 3152-nucleotide unclassified non-coding RNA is filed under the name Helicoverpa zea (corn earworm). RNAcentral's name for it is "innexin inx3, transcript variant X2". Lineage: Eukaryota; Metazoa; Arthropoda; Insecta; Lepidoptera; Noctuidae. The record is from RNAcentral.
GCGCUCGUUCGUUCAGUUACGUUUCCGACCCACGAGCAGCUGGUGCGCUGUGCUGCGGGCCCCCAGUUGCCACUCGUUUUACUCCAUUCGCUUCAUUAUAUUCUAUGACAUAUCCCUUGUAAUACAAUGACGUUGAACUAUUGUAGCAAAGUAUUUUUAGACAUAUUAUAAGUGUGCCUGUGAUCAGUGUUGUGUACAAAGAACGAGCGAUUUGCGAUCAUAUUUUUUUAGAGACCGGAGUGGCUGGAAAGUAACAGUUAGGUUUAAAAGACAACGAAGUAAACAAACACAUUCAAGAUGGCGGUAUUUGGCUUGGUGUCAUCGGUGGCGGGCUUUGUGAAGGUCCGCUACCUCAUCGACAAGGCUGUCAUAGACAACAUGGUGUUCAGAAUGCACUAUCGCAUCACAUCAGCCAUAUUGUUCCUGUGCUGUAUACUUGUAACCGCUAAUAAUCUUAUUGGCGAGCCGAUCUCAUGUAUCAACGACGGUGCGAUCCCUGCCCACGUACUCAACACCUAUUGCUGGAUCACCUACACGUUCACACUUCCGAAUUCCAACUCCAAGGCUGUGGCACAUCCCGGCCUUGGCAAUGACUAUUUAGAAGAGAAACGCAUCCAUGCCUACUACCAGUGGGUGCCUUUCAUGCUGUUCUUCCAGGGUCUGCUGUUCUACGUGCCCCAUUGGGUUUGGAAGAACUGGGAAGAAGGCAAAAUCCGCAUGAUCUCUGAUGGCAUACGUGGUACCGCUGCCACCAUUGCUGACGAUAAGAACAAUCGUCUGAAUCGCCUUGUCCAGUAUUUGGUGGAUACUAGACACAUGCACAACACUUAUUCCUUUGGUUACUUCUUCUGUGAGAUUAUGAACUUCAUCAAUGUGGUUGGCAACAUAUUCUUCUUGGACACAUUCCUCGGUGGUGCCUUCUUGACUUAUGGAACUGAUGUCGUUAGGUUUUCGAACAUGAACCAGGAGCAACGAACUGACCCUAUGAUUGAAGUCUUUCCAAGAAUAACAAAGUGUACAUUCCACAAAUUCGGUGCUUCUGGAACGAUCCAGAAACACGACGCUCUCUGUGUGCUAGCCUUGAAUAUCCUCAAUGAGAAGAUUUUCAUCUUCCUGUGGUUCUGGUUUAUCAUCCUAUCGGUGGUGAGCGGAUUGGCUCUGGUCUACUCUGCAGCAGUAAUCCUAUUGCCAAGCACCCGCGAGACGAUCCUGAAGAGACGAUUCCGUUUCGGAACUCCGGCUGGAGUCGAGUCACUCGUUAGGAAAACUCAGGUGGGAGACUUCCUACUUCUUCACCUGCUCGGCCAGAAUAUGUCACUCCGUGUAUUCGGCGAGGUGCUAGACGAGCUCUCUCGAAGGCUGCACAUGAACUCCAACGCACCCUCAGCCCCUUCCACUCUCGAGAUGGCCCCCAUCUACCCCAACAUUGACAAGUACGCCAAGGAAACAGAGACGUAAGUUGUGAGACUGAGCUAAGGCAAUACACAACACCCCCAGAAAAAUUGUUCUAGAAAAUGUACGAAAUUUUGUCUCGAAUACGACUCUUGAGAAUAUUCAGCAAUGUGAUUCCUAUACAAUCAUUUCGCUAUUCCUCUCAAUUCUUGUAUCUGAGACUACUUUCUAUGUAGAAAGUGUAGAACGCAGUGUAUUGUGUUUUUAUAACUGUAACGCUCAUUCGCAGUAAUGUAAGAAAUUCAGUUCCAACGACAUGAAUGACCAUGACAUUCCUUAUUUUACCUGUUUAAGUAAGACAACAAUUGCCUUUUUUGCCUUGAGCUUUAAAUUAAGUGAAACCCUAUACGAUUUGUAUAAUUAGUAUAAAAUUGUUGACAAAUUUCGAUUAACAUAAGUAAGCACUUUGUUACGAUUAUGGCAUUUGCUGUGGUACUACGACUAUGCGAAUAAGCAACAUUCACUUUUUUCUCAAUAACAUUUAACUUCCAAGUUUAGUUCUAUAAGUUCGAAGCGACUCGCAGAUAAAUGCAAUUGAUAUUUAAAGUACAUACAAAGUAUACAUUCAUUUCUAUUUUAAGUAUAAUGUAUCUUUUUCUAUUAGGAUAUUAUGCAAAUAAAUGAGGUUACAAGCAAAUGUGGUCUGGACACGUUGCGACUAUGUAUUUAUAUUUAAUUUUCCAUCAUUAAAUGUUAUAAUAAUAUUUAAUUCAAUAACUUGUCCAUACUGUGCUGCGAGUAACUUCAGACGUGAGAUAUAGAAGACAUUUUUAAUUUUAGUAGUUUAUGUUUUUCUUUUCUUUGUAUCGAUAAGGAUGAUAUAAUAUUAAGGCCAUAGCUAUGCAUUUUUAAUGAAAUUAAAUAAGUGAUUAUGAACUGUAUGAAAUAUUAUAAUAAACAGGCUGGUCUCUAAUAUUGAUAUAUAUUUGAUAUGAAACAUUCAGUGAGUUAGUAGUUUAUUAAAAACUAUAACAAUGCUUCAGAAUACACAUAUCGACUUUAAAAUUAAGUCUUUCAUUUACAAUUAAGUAGACAUUAUAUUGAUUAGAAUAUUUUAUACGUGCUUUUCUUUUGUUCCAUUGAUUUAGUAAAUAUUUUGAAGUUAUAAUGUAACUAAUAGGGUUACUAUCAUGUGUAUGAGCUGCGUGGGUAUCUGCUGAUAGUCGAAUUUUAUAUAAUGUUACUUCAAUCUCGCGAUUGAUAUCAAAAGUAUAUUUGGUACUAGAAAAUCAAAACUAUGUAUGAAGCGUGAAUGGAUAUAAUCAAGGUACGUGUAUCUAUAAGUUUGAAGUGAAUACAUUAUACUCAUAAAUUGUUCCAAAUGUGCCAUUAAUAAGAUGUCCAGAAGGGAAAGGCCACGAUUCUCAACGUAUCUCAAACAUUAUAGAAUAAGAUUGAGUCAUGCACUAUUAUAAUAGAUAUGUGUGAAUGAAAUGAUAUUUUUUGAAUAACUUUCUCGGAAUCUCUAAAAAAUGUCUUCCAUGCACUAGAGCAGUGUUUCAAUGGAACUCGAAUUUUGCAAUUUGCCGUGUAUUUACUAGUUUUUAAUUAUUACUAUGCCAUUCCUAUAUAAAAUGUUUUGUAGUUUGUAAACGAAGCUGCCUUACUUCCUACGUAAUAUCUCUGAGACUGCAACAAUCAUUUUUCAAUGUGUUACAUUGUCUACAUUAUAUUUGGUAAUAAAUUACUUCAAAUAAUUA